GAUGAACGCUGGCGGCGUGCCUAAUACAUGCAAGUCGAGCGAACAGACGAGGAGCUUGCUCCUCUGACGUUAGCGGCGGACGGGUGAGUAACACGUGGAUAACCUACCUAUAAGACUGGGAUAACUUCGGGAAACCGGAGCUAAUACCGGAUAAUAUAUUGAACCGCAUGGUUCAAUAGUGAAAGACGGUUUUGCUGUCACUUAUAGAUGGAUCCGCGCCGCAUUAGCUAGUUGGUAAGGUAACGGCUUACCAAGGCAACGAUGCGUAGCCGACCUGAGAGGGUGAUCGGUCACACUGGAACUGAGACACGGUCCAGACUCCUACGGGAGGCAGCAGUAGGGAAUCUUCCGCAAUGGGCGAAAGCCUGACGGAGCAACGCCGCGUGAGUGAUGAAGGUCUUCGGAUCGUAAAACUCUGUUAUUAGGGAAGAACAAAUGUGUAUGUAACUAUGCACGUCUUGACGGUACCUAAUCAGAAAGCAACGGCUAACUACGUG
RNAcentral lists this ribosomal RNA (497 nucleotides) under uncultured bacterium. Its description in RNAcentral is "partial 16S ribosomal RNA". It matches the Rfam family "Bacterial small subunit ribosomal RNA", at positions 28 to 507 of the family's 1533-position model. The record is from RNAcentral.